GCUAGAGACCGGCGCACGGGUGCGUAACGCGUAUGCAAUCUACCUUUUACAGAGGGAUAGCCCAGAGAAAUUUGGAUUAAUACCUCAUAGUAUAGUACAACCGCAUGGUUGAACUAUUAAAGUCACAACGGUAAAAGAUGAGCAUGCGUCCCAUUAGCUAGUUGGUAAGGUAACGGCUUACCAAGGCUACGAUGGGUAGGGGUCCUGAGAGGGAGAUCCCCCACACUGGUACUGAGACACGGACCAGACUCCUACGGGAGGCAGCAGUGAGGAAUAUUGGACAAUGGGCGCAAGCCUGAUCCAGCCAUGCCGCGUGCAGGAUGACGGUCCUAUGGAUUGUAAACUGCUUUUAUACGAGAAGAAACACUCCUUCGUGAAGGAGCUUGACGGUAUCGUAAGAAUAAGGAUCGGCUAACUCCGUGCCAGCAGCCGCGGUAAUACGGAGGAUCCAAGCGUUAUCCGGAAUCAUUGGGUUUAAAGGGUCCGUAGGCGGUUUAAUAAGUCAGUGGUGAAAGCCCAUCGCUCAACGGUGGAACGGCCAUUGAUACUGUUAGACUUGAAUUAUUAGGAAGUAACUAGAAUAUGUAGUGUAGCGGUGAAAUGCUUAGAGAUUACAUGGAAUACCAAUUGCGAAGGCAGGUUACUACUAAUUGAUUGACGCUGAUGGACGAAAGCGUGGGUAGCGAACAGGAUUAGAUACCCUGGUAGUCCACGCCGUAAACGAUGGAUACUA
RNAcentral lists this ribosomal RNA (733 nucleotides) under Flavobacterium sp. 19AAV. RNAcentral describes it as "bacterial SSU rRNA". It matches the Rfam family "Bacterial small subunit ribosomal RNA", at positions 87 to 818 of the family's 1533-position model. The record is from RNAcentral. Lineage: Bacteria; Pseudomonadati; Bacteroidota; Flavobacteriia; Flavobacteriales; Flavobacteriaceae.